RNAcentral lists this ribosomal RNA (251 nucleotides) under uncultured Acaulospora. RNAcentral describes it as "partial 18S ribosomal RNA". The record is from RNAcentral. Lineage: Eukaryota; Fungi; Glomeromycota; Glomeromycetes; Diversisporales; Acaulosporaceae.
CCCCAACUAUCCUAUUAAUCUCGGUGAUCCUAGAAACCACCAAAAUAGAACCAUGCCGUCCUAUUUUAUUAUUCCAUGUUAAUUUAUUCAAGCAAUAGCCUGCUUUAAGCACUCUAAUUUUUUCAAGGUAAUAGCUCUGCUUCCCCGGCGCACCAACUAAAUGGCAUGCCGGUUAUUCAGAAGGUAGGAACCCAUCACACCAGUGCGGACCGUGAGGCCCGACCAAUGGACAAAUCCCCAAAUUCCACUAC